UACAGAGGUGGCGAGCGUUGUCCGGAUUGACUGGGCGUAAAGGGCGCGUAGGCGGCUUGGUAAGUCAAAUGUAAAAUCUCUGGGCUUAACCCAGAGUUCGCAUUUGAAACUGCUUUGCUUGAGUAUAGGAGAGGAGAGUGGAAUUCCUGGUGUAGCGGUGGAAUGUGUAGAGAUCAGGAAGAACACCGGUGGCGAAGGCGGCUCUCUGGUCUAAUACUGACGCUAAUGCGCGAAAGCUAGGGGAGCAAAC
RNAcentral lists this ribosomal RNA (250 nucleotides) under uncultured bacterium. Its description in RNAcentral is "partial 16S ribosomal RNA". It matches the Rfam family "Bacterial small subunit ribosomal RNA", at positions 524 to 773 of the family's 1533-position model. The record is from RNAcentral.